RNAcentral lists this ribosomal RNA (425 nucleotides) under uncultured bacterium. RNAcentral's name for it is "bacterial SSU rRNA". It matches the Rfam family "Bacterial small subunit ribosomal RNA", at positions 354 to 796 of the family's 1533-position model. The record is from RNAcentral.
GUGGGGAAUCUUGCGCAAUGGGCGAAAGCCUGACGCAGCCAUGCCGCGUGAAUGAUGAAGGUCUUAGGAUUGUAAAAUUCUUUCAGCAGGGACGAUAAUGACGGUACCUGCAGAAGAAGCCCCGGCUAACUUCGUGCCAGCAGCCGCGGUAAUACGAAGGGGGCUAGCGUUGCUCGGAUUUACUGGGCGUAAAGGGCGCGUAGGCGGAUAACCAAGUUGGGGGUGAAAUCCCGGGGCUCAACCUCGGAACUGCCUCCAAAACUGGUGAUCUUGAGUAUGAGAGAGGUGUGUGGAACUCCGAGUGUAGAGGUGAAAUUCGUAGAUAUUCGGAAGAACACCAGUGGCGAAGGCGACACACUGGCUCAUUACUGACGCUGAGGCGCGAAAGCGUGGGGAGCAAACAGGAUUAGAAACCCUAGUAGUCC